This 7434-nucleotide long non-coding RNA is filed under the name Lactuca sativa (garden lettuce). Its description in RNAcentral is "long non-coding RNA (LSAT_LNC000412)". Lineage: Eukaryota; Viridiplantae; Streptophyta; Magnoliopsida; Asterales; Asteraceae. The record is from RNAcentral.
UUCGUCCUCCGAAGGUACUUAAGGAUCUUCUUGACUGCAAUCCAAUGGGCUCUGCCAGGGUUCCCUUGAUAUCUACUAACCAUGCUCAAAGCAAAGGCUACAUCAGGGCGAGUACAAGUCAUAGCAUACAUGAUUGAGCCAACUGCGGAAGCGUAUGGAACUCGGCUCAUUUCUGCUAUUUCAGCUUCGGUACUCGGACUUUGAGUCUUACUCAACUUGGCAUUACUUUGUAUCGGUAAUUCUCCCUUCUUCGAGUUUUCCAUACUAAAACGUUUUAGUACUUUAUCUAAGUAAGUGUUCUGACUAAGUCCUAUUAGUCUCUUACUUCGCUCUCUCACUAUCCUUAUUCCCAAAAUAUAGGAAGCCUCUCCGAGGUCCUUCAUAGCGAAGCACUUCCCGAGCCAGGACUUAACUUCUUGCAGAGUCGGGACGUCGUUUCCUAUGAGUAGUAUGUCAUCGACAUACAGAACGAGGAAGCUUACUAUACUCCCACUGGCUUUGACAUAUACACAUGAUUCAUCUUCGCUUCGUACAAAUCCAAACUCUUUGACUUUCUCAUCGAAGCAAAGAUUCCAUCUACGAGACGCUUGCUAUAUGUCCAUAAAUGGACUUCUAAUGCUUACACACUCUAUUUGGAUGCUUCGGAUCAACGAAACCCUCUGGCUGAGCCAUGUAAACAUCAUCAGCCAACUUCCCGUUAAGGAAAGCGGUUUUGACAUCCAUUUGCCAAAUCUCAUAAUCAUGAAAUGCGGCAAUUGCUAGCAUCACUCUAAUAGAUUUUAUCUUCGCAACUGGUGAGAAGGUCUCAUCAUAGUCAACUCCGGGAGUUUGAGUAAAGCCCUUCGCAACCAAUCGCGCUUUAUAUGUGUGUACGUUUCCAUCCACGUCGGUCUUCUUCUUGAAGAUCCAUUUGCACCCAACGGUCUUACGUCCGGGCACAUAAUCAACCAAAUUCCAAACUUGGUUAUCAUACAUGGAUUGGAUCUCGCUAUCCAUUGCCUCUUUCCAUUUUGCAGACUCCGGGCCUGCCAUGGCUUCCUUAUAGCUAUUAGGUUCAUCAAGAUUUACUAGUGUACCAUCACUAAUAUACGUGUCCCCUUCGGUAGUAAUAUGAAAGCCAUAAAACUGGGGAUGAACUCUAACUCUAUCGGAACGUCUAAGAGGUAAGGAUUCGUCAAUCGGUUCAACCGGAGUUUCCUCCUCGGGUUGAGUGCCAGCGGUAGAGGUUCCUUCAUCUAUCGACUCUUGAAUCUCUUCAAGUUCGAUUUGCCUCCCACUGUCUCCUUGGCUUAUGAGUUCUCGCUCUCGGAAAACUCCUCUCCUCGCAACGAAGACAACAUUGUCCUUCGGUCUAUAGAAGAGAUAUCCAAAGGAUGUCUGCGGGUAGCCGAUGAAAAUACAUCGCUCACUUCGAGGUUCAAGCUUGUCGUGAGUAUCUCGUCUUACGAAAGCCUCGCAACCCCAAACCUUGAUAUGUGCCAACGAGGGAGCUUUCCCUGUCCACAUCUCGUGAGGUGUUUUGGCAACCUUCUUAGUAGGGACUCGGUUAAGGAUAUGGGCGGCAGUCUCUAAGGCAUACCCCCAAAAAGAGAUUGGUAGUGAAGCACGACUCAUCAUAGAGCGAACCAUAUCCAAUAAGGUUCGAUUACGCCUUUCUGCCACACCAUUCAACUGCGGUGUCCUAGGAGGCGUCAAUUGUGAAACUAUUCCACACUCCUUGAGAUAAUCGUGGAAUUCAAGACUUAGGUACUCUCCUCCUCGAUCGGAUCGAAGCAUCUUGAUUUUCCUGCCCAAUUGAUUCUCCACUUCAUUCUUGAACUCUUUGAACUUUUCAAAGGUGUCUGACUUUUGCUUGAUUAAGUAGAUAUACCCAUAUCUACUAUAGUCAUCGGUAAAAGUCACAUAGAAGCGGUUCCCAUCCUUCGUGGUUGAUCUAAACGGUCCACAUACAUCGGUAUGUAUUAGGUCCAAUAGACCCUCGCCCCUUUCACAUGUACUCGUGAAGGGUGACUUAGUCAUCUUUCCAAGCAAACAAGACUCGCAUGUGUCAUCUUCCCUAAGGUCGAAUGACUCCAACACUCCAUCCUUUUGGAGUUGGGCUAUGCGUUUCUUGUUGACAUGUCCAAGACGACAAUGCCACAAGGAUGCUUUAUCCAUACUAGUGGAAGAAUCAAUAUUCAAAACAUCAUUUCCUAAGUUAUCAACAAUCAUAACGGUUUCAUAUAUUCCAUUACAUGGUAUAGCUUCAAAGUAAAAGACACCAUUUAGAUAAGCCAAAAUAGAACCAUUCUCAUUAUUAAAAGAAAAUCUAAAUCCUUGUCUAUAUAAACCAUGAAAUGAAAUGAUGUUUCUUGCCAUUUCUGGCGAAUAGCAACAAUUGUUCAAAUCUAAAACUAAACUAUUCCUAAGCACUAAGGAAUACACUCCAAUCUUGGUCACAGGCGACGAUCUUCUGUUCCCCAUGAUUAGAUUGAUCCUUCCUUGCUCCACAUCCCUACUUCUUCUUAGUCCCUGCACAUUAGAACAAAUGUGAUAACCACAACCGGUAUCAAGAACCCAAGAAAUAGCAUGAUUAGAAUCGUUAGAUUUGAUUGUAUAUAUACCUGCGAAAGAUGGCUUGAUCUUUCCUUCUUUGAUUGCUUGCAGGUAAUCCGGGCAGCUUCUCUUCCAAUGUCCUAUCUUGUGGCAGUGGUGGCACUCUGCCUCCUUCGGGUUAGAGCAGGGCUUAGCGGGAUCAACUUUGGUCCCACUAGAAGAGGCACCAUCUCGGGCUUUCACCUUGCGAUAGUUCUUCGAUGAAGCUUUCCUCUUCUUUCCCUUCCCUUGUCCAAUAGCCAAGACAGGAGCAGCGGGCGGAUUGGGAGUAGGUGCAACAGACUUGUCUUUGAAGUUGCUCUCAGCAACCCUCAAGAGACCUUGGAGCUUGCUUAGGGUGACCUCUUCUUUGUUCAUGUGGUAGGUCAUCCUAAAUUGGUUGUACAUCGGAGGCAAAGAGUGAAGCACCAUGUCGAUCGCCAAGUCUUCACCGAAGUCAACAUUUAACUUGCGAAGGCGGUCGACAUACCUUUGCAUCUUUUGCAAGUGCACGGUAAGAGAUUCUCCAUGACCCAUCUUCGCGGAAAUCAUGUUAGUGAAAAUCUCGUACCUCUCUUGUCUCGCGUUUUGGUGGUACCUCUCCAAUAAGUCUUGGUGCAUCUCGUACGGGUACAUGUCCUCGUAGGACUUUUGGAAUUCGGAGUUCAUGGUGGCGAUCAUGAUGCAAUGUACCUUCGUUGCAUCUCGCUCAUGAGUUUCAAAGGCGGUGAUUUCGGCGGGAGUAGCAAUUUCGGGGUUGAUUUUCUCGAGCUUCUCAUCGAGGACAUACUCCUUAUCCUCAUAGCGAGCAAUGGUGCGAAUGUAUCUUAUCCAUUCGCUAAAGUUCGUUCCAUCGAAGGUGACCUUUUGGCAAAGGCUCAUCAACGUGAAAGAACUAGCAGCAGCGUUGUUUGCGUUCGACAUCUACAAUUAGAAAAGGACAAAGAUAGAUUAGAAUAAGAAUCCCUAAUUAUCACCCAAUAAGAAAAUUAGGGCUAGGAUCCAACAAUAACAUUUACAUACUAGAAAAGGGAUGCCGUAAUCUAACAUGCAAAUAAAUUGAAGGUAAGUGAAUGACGAUUCACUAAUUCUCCAUCACGAAACUUAAACUAUUAGUCCUAAGUGUUUUUGAGAAUUCCUAGGUUCGGAUGAGAUUCAUUGAAACUAUUCAAUGGCAUGUUUAAAUCUCGAUAUGCCCCUCUUGUUUGUGACUGGGAUACCGAGGAUCACAAAGCGGGUGUGAAUUACCAUGCAAAUUCACAUGGUGCCUUCAUUGUAACGAUCACCUAUUCGAUGUGCCGGUAAACCACACACGCUCCAUCGAACUAUGAUAAACAAUGAAUCACCCUUUGCCACCUUCGCUUAGAACCAAUUAGUGUGCCGGUAAACCACACACGCUCCACUAACAUCUUAGCAAGGUGCAAAGUGUAAUUUCAUGGGAUUGCAUCAAUUCACUUUUCCUAAAGUAACUAGGAUUUGGAAAUUUUUGAAAUAUGUGUAGUUACUUGUAUUUCUUAUUAUACUUUUAAUGAGAGGAUGAGGUUGCCCUAUCCUACCCGUUCGGCUAACGACCCUCCACCAAUCAAGCAAGCGGUGGGUGUGAGUGUACACCCAUUAAGCGCCAUUUUAUAGGCCGCAACCUUAUACCCACCUUAUAGAUCGGCUUCGUGAAUGAGGCCUACUAACGGUAAGACUAGCAUUUAGUUAUACAUAUAUAUAUUAUUCUAGUAAUAUCAUAUUAGUAUAGGGUUGUAUUUUAAAACUUUUAAAAUCUAGGGUUUGAAAUUUAAGUUGUCUAAAUUAAAGCUUUUAAUCACAAAAGUAAAUUUCAAAACAUGAGGGUAGGUUUUAAACAUUUAAAACAUGGAGGAUCAAAUAACAAAUAAUUCCAAUUAACAAUUAAUAUCCUAAUUAUCUAUAUUUGAUUUAUUCAAGAUUUCUUUUAAGAUAAUUACCAAAAUAAUUAAAAUAAUUAAUUAAUUAUCAUAUAAGGAAAUUAAAUAUUUAAUUAGUUGAUAAUUACCUUUAACUAGAUCAAGAUAAUAGUUAUAUUUAUCAGAAAAACGAAUUAAUGUUGAUCUAAUUAGUUUAUGGUAAGUUAAGAUAAGAUAAACACAAAGAAAUCCCGAAUCUGGCCAUUCCUGACGCCUGGACUCGCCGAGUGCACAAAUGGACUCGCCGAGUCAGGCCUACUCGCCGAGUCCACUUUGAGACUCGCCGAGUCCAUGACUCAGAAACCAAAAAUUCGAAUUUUGCAGGUUUGUUUCAGUUAAUCAAGCAACAAUUUAAAGAAAACCAAGCUAGGCUCUGAUACCACUGAUGGGUUUUAGCCAUAAGAACUUUCCUAUGUGCGCAUGCAAAACCCUAAUGCUUGGAUCUAGGCUUUCUAAUAAACAUGCUUUGAAUCCAAGACUUCUAAUGACUAAUUAGGUUAAAUAACAACAUUGAAACAGAUCUAGAAUCAUACCUUUGAGUUCCUUGUUGAUCUUGAGGUCUUGGAGCUUCUAGAGUCACAAAUGUCACUCCUCUAAUGGCUUACAAACACCAAAGCAAGGAGGAUGAUUUGGGAGAGAGGAGAGGGGAGGAAUUCGACCAGAGUUCUCUUGCUUUUUCAGAAGUGUCGAAUUCCCUAUGCCAUGGGGUCUAUUUAUACUUGUAGACUCCUUAAGGAUUACAGAUAAGUCCCUAUCAGAUAAUCUUCUCUUAAGGCUAUCCAAAUCCAUUCCUAGAUAACUCUAAUGGACGAUUUUAGCUAUCCUAAUCCUCUUAGAAUUCGUCCAUAGCAUAUCCAAAUGGAUUUACAGUCUAAAGCUUAACUAUCAAACAAUUGACAGUUUAUACCCCUUUAUUUAAUUAAUCUCUUUAAGUCACCAAAUUAAUUCUAAUUAAUUCUAUGACUUAUAUUAAUCAAAUAACAAAUAUAUUAUUCAUUAUAUUAUUCUCAUAAUAUAUUAAUAAUAUUUACUCUCUCUUAAUAAAUCAUCCUAUCAAGUUGCUAUGGUGAAGGCAACCCAAAAGGACCAUGCACAACCGGAUCAAAUACUUGCCUAAUAUAGUUACAGCCUUAGACACUAUUCCAACAGUCUCCCACUUGGAUAAGUCUAGUAACUAUACAAGUACAAUUCGGUUUGCAAUCGUAGCUCUCAAAGACGCUGUCAACUCUGAUCUAAUCAAUCUUGUCCUUUAGAUAAGGGAACGUACAGUCCUCUGUUAGAUAUCAUGCUGACAAUCCUAUGGAAUGGUUAGUCAAGCAUUUAGGUUUCUCGAUCUCUGAUUUAUUUGACAUAGAACUUAAUCGAACACAUCAAUUCAGUUCUGACCGGGCCCGGCACAUAAGUCAAAUCAAAUCAUCGAGCGGCCGAGAUAUCGCUUUUACCUUCUUAGAUAAAAGUUACAGAUAAACUUCGACUUAUAUGCAUUUACUUAUUCAUUAACCAACUAUACACAACAAUACGUUUUAUAACACCAAGUUACUGAUGCGUUUUCGUAUUAUCAAUGUACAAUCAAUUAACAAAUAAUAAACCAUAUAUCUAGGUUUUAAGACUAUAUGAUAUUAUCGUCUUGCGAUCACCUUUUAUAUCGUAUUCCAUAAGGUGAUUCCAGCAAGCGCGGGUUUAUUCCAAUGCUCAAAACUAGUUCAUAAGCACUCAUGAACGUUGCAGCAAUCCUUUGCUAUGUCUAACACCAUUUAGACAUUCUACACACCAAUUCAUGACAAUCUUCAUUCAUAUCUACUCCCAACAUAUGAACGAUUGUGGACCAUUUGAACAAUUCGAUUAUUCCUAAUAAACUCAAUUAUUCUGGAAGUCAAAACAUGCAAAGUGAAACAAUAGCUAAACAAUUAACAUAAGAUAGUAACAUUACUCAUAAAUAAAACUCCUUUAUUUAAUCAUCAAAUGUUAAUUACAUUUAUCUAUUACACGUUUCUAAUACUAUCUAAUCUAUGCUAAUAUCAUCCUUCAGCCCAAUACUCCUAGCAUGCUGCAAGUGCUUAACCCUACUCAGUCCCUUCGUAAGCGGAUCUGCUGGGUUAUCUUCUGAUGAUAUCCUCUUCACUACGAGUUGUCCUUCUUCUACACGAUGUCUAAUGAAGUGAUAUUUUCUGUCGAUAUGUCUUGAUCUACCAUGAUCCCUCGGUUCCUUGGUCAAGGCAACCGCUCCUUCGUUAUCACAGAAAAUCUCCAUGGGCUCCUUUAUGGCAGGUACAACUCCAAGAUCACCGAUGAAGUUCUUUAGCCAUAUUGCCUCCUUCGACGCUUCGCUCGCUGCAAUGUACUCUGAUUCGCACGUUGAAUCAGCUACGGUUUCCUGCUUGGAACUCUUCCAUGUCACUGCUCCUCCAUUUAGGGUAAAGACCCAGCCCGACUGCGAACGGUAGUUGUCCCUGUCGGUCUGAAAACUGGCGUCACUAUACCCUCGCACCUUCAAGUCAUCACUCCCUCCGAGGACUAAGAACCAUUCCUUCGUCCUCCGAAGGUACUUAAGGAUAUUCUUCACCGCAAUCCAAUGUGCUUUGCCAGGAUUCCCUUGAUAUCUGCUAACCAUGCUCAAAGCGAAGGCUACAUCAGGGCGAGUACAAGUCAUAGCGUACAUGAUUGAGCCAACUGCGGAAGCGUAUGGUACUCGGCUCAUUUCUGCUAUCUCAGCUUCGGUACUCGGACUUUGAGUCUUACUCAAUUUGGCAUUACUUUGUAUCGGUAGUUCUCCCUUCUUUGAGUUUUCCAUACUAAAACGUUUUAGUACCUUCUCUAAGUAAGUAUUCUGACUAAGUCCAAUUAGUCUCUUACUUCUUUCUCUUACUAUCCUUAUUCCCAAAAUGUAAGAAGCCUCUCCGAGGUCCUUCAUAGCGAAGCACUUCCC